AAUGAACGCUGGCGGCAUGCCUAACACAUGCAAGUCGAACGAGACCUUCGGGUCUAGUGGCGCACGGGUGCGUAACGCGUGGGAAUCUGCCCUUGGGUUCGGAAUAACAGUGAGAAAUUACUGCUAAUACCGAAUGAUGACGUAAGUCCAAAGAUUUAUCGCCCAGGGAUGAGCCCGCGUAGGAUUAGCUAGUUGGUGAGGUAAAGCUCACCAAGGCGACGAUCCUUAGCUGGUCUGAGAGGAUGAUCAGCCACACUGGGAC
This 262-nucleotide ribosomal RNA is filed under the name uncultured bacterium. Its description in RNAcentral is "partial 16S ribosomal RNA". It matches the Rfam family "Bacterial small subunit ribosomal RNA", at positions 29 to 319 of the family's 1533-position model. The record is from RNAcentral.